This 491-nucleotide ribosomal RNA is filed under the name uncultured bacterium. Its description in RNAcentral is "partial 16S ribosomal RNA". It matches the Rfam family "Bacterial small subunit ribosomal RNA", at positions 28 to 507 of the family's 1533-position model. The record is from RNAcentral.
GAUGAACGCUGGCUACAGGCUUAACACGUGCAAGUCGAGGGGAAACGACGGGGAAGCUUGCUUCCCCGGGCGUCGACCGGCGCACGGGUGAGUAACGCGUAUCCAACCUGCCUCUGACUGAGGGAUAACCCGUCGAAAGUCGGCCUAAUACCUCAUGGCAUCGUCUGCGGGCAUCCAACGACGAUUAAAGAUUUCAUCGGUCAGGGAUGGGGAUGCGUCUGAUUAGCUUGUUGGCGGGGUAACGGCCCACCAAGGCUACGAUCAGUAGGGGUUCUGAGAGGAAGGUCCCCCACAUUGGAACUGAGACACGGUCCAAACUCCUACGGGAGGCAGCAGUGAGGAAUAUUGGUCAAUGGGCGGGAGCCUGAACCAGCCAAGUAGCGUGCAGGAUGACGGCCCUAUGGGUUGUAAACUGCUUUUAUGCGGGGAUAAAGUGAGGGACGUGUCCUUCAUUGCAGGUACCGCAUGAAUAAGAACCGGCUAAUUCCGUG